Molecule: long non-coding RNA, 823 nt
Organism: Halichondria panicea
Lineage: Eukaryota; Metazoa; Porifera; Demospongiae; Suberitida; Halichondriidae
Exons: 2
Source: RefSeq, a predicted model, not a curated record
CAACGAUUCCUACAAUCAUGGUGGGCGUGGCCCAAGUAUUUGCGAGUACGAGUCCCAUGUUAGAAUUAGAACUAGAGCUAGAGAUAUCGGUGCGCAGUAUCAUGGCUGAUGAUCAAAUUGCUGCUAGUAAACAACAACAACUGAGAGAAGCAAGACGUAAAAGGAUCUUAGAGAAUUCUCAAGCAAGACUAGAAAAGCUGAAAGGAUCACAAGUGAGCAGUGCUAAUGUACCACCUCCAUCUGCUCCUCUGAAGCAAUCAACACCCCAACCCCCACCUACAAGUGAUGACUCUCCCCUGCCUGUAGAUGACCCCCCUGAUGAGAUCAUAACCAGGACACCACUGACACUACCUCCUCCUCCACCACAACGAGCACUACCCAACACUACUACACAGUCGUCAUGGCUGGUUGGCGUGGUCAGUCAAGUCAGCUCAGACUAUGGUUACAAGUUGAGAACUGCAGCUGCUCUAAUAUGUGUUCUGCUGGUCACUGUCCAAAACUUUAUGUUUGGUGGAUUUGUUGUAUCGUAUGUGCUGUCAAUACUCAUACUUGACUGCACACUAAUUCUGUGGUUUUUAUGGAGACCUGGUACUAGGACCAAUGAAGCAAACCCUCUUGGAUGGUGGAGUAUGGCCUGCGUCCCUUUGUCAUUUUUUCACCCAUUGCUUCCUAGACUGUUUGAAAUUGCUUGUCUGUGUUUAAUGCUUCUUAAUGUAUUUAUUAGAGAUUUUCUAUUUUUUCUGUUUUGCUGUAUUGUUUCUGUUGGCUUUGUGCAAGUAGUUUCAUCAUAAAAUUAAUUAUGUACUAAAAGAUGUCAUAUCAA